RNAcentral lists this long non-coding RNA (1724 nucleotides) under Homo sapiens (human). RNAcentral describes it as "ZFHX4 antisense RNA 1 (ZFHX4-AS1)". The record is from RNAcentral. Lineage: Eukaryota; Metazoa; Chordata; Mammalia; Primates; Hominidae.
UGUGAGUGUGUCUCUGUGUGUGUAGGGGUCGAGGUGGGGGGGGUCCGUGUUUGCGAUCUGAACCUUUGGUACCUACAAGGAGGGUGUCUCACCGAACGGUAGCUAAAACCUCACCAGAACCGCGCGGAAGUGAGAAGUCGCGGCCAAAGGCGCCCGCAGAAGCCUCCUCUCUGGGCCGGACCCCAGCCCGAGCGGCCGAAAGGAGCCCCCCGCCCGGAUCACAGCUGCUGCAGCUGCCGCUGAAAUUCGCUGUGGCCGCUGCCUCUUCCCGCUUUAAUCCCAGACCUCCAGUCAUUGGGCAGCUCCUCAGAGGCAAGAAGUCAACACCAUGGCAACCCGACAAGCCUAUCAAAUCACCGGCUGGCGUGACAGCAGCAACACUGCAGGCAGGAGUGGGCUGGGCGGAAGAGCAGAGUGGCCACUGCGCUCAGAAGUUUACAAGGAAAGGGGAAAUGUCUGAAAUGGAGAUUGCACAAUCCUGUCUUGAAGCAGAAGACUCAGCUAGAGCACAUCUGGAAACACCUGGCACUCCUCAAUAGAAUUCAAAUGCUAUUUUAAAAGAGUCCAUUUCUAAGAAGAUGUGGUUCGAACAUACAGAGCUACAUAAUAUGAGUAAAAUAGGACCUAACAGUAGUGUUCUCCAGCAUUGCUCUGCCUUUCCUUUUCUGGAUGUAACAACAUUACUAAGAAAGGAAGAAAAAGCAAAAAUCUGCUCUCGGGGAGAUUCCAGAAUGUUGGAAAGCCCCAAAUGGAAGUCUCUGCUUUGGUUACAGGACAUAAGGUUUAAUAAAUAAAAAGAUGCUCAUCUGGGAUGCUGCACCAAUUAUCAUGUACUAAAUAAGGUUACCUACUUCACUCUCCAGGUAGAAAUGUCUAUCAUAAGCAUGUGCCACAGAAGGUCUCUCAAGUAUCAUUAUUGGCUGUGUUGAAUUUUGUUUUUAGUUCUCUUUUAUAAGGUCUGUAGUCUUACUUUCAGUGAGGAAGUGUUUUCUCAGGUUCUCAAGAAAGUAACAAAAUGCCAGCAUUGUCAAGGUCACCAUUGCCACUGAAUUAUCUUACUGUCUGAUUAUUCCAUCUUCCUCUGCAUCAUAUUAGCCUGAUGACUACAUUCUAAUUAUUUAAAGCGUUAUGUAAAUCAAAGCAGUAAAUGUAAUUUCUAGUCUUACUAGAUAUCAUGUACAUUAGGUCGAAUAACUCUAGAAAUGUCGUCAUAAUCAUGUCAUGCCUAAUGAUGACCUACUCAGCCCCUGCCAACAUCAUUCAAUUACUCAUUUCAGUAUUGAUUUUUCUCAUGCCUCUCUUCGUGGCAUUUAAACAGCCCUCACAUCUCCCCUUUUACUGAGGUGUAAUGUUGUAUAAUGACAGAGAUGCUUUGCUUCCCAGAUUCAUAAUGUUACACUCUGUUUCAAAUCCUUUUGGAGACAAAUUGGGGAAUCAAUAUAUAAAUAAUGACACACUUAUUUUUAAUUAAAAUCACUGCUUUCACAGAAAUGGUAUAUUAAAAUUAUUUUUGCUAAAAAAAUUUUAAAUACCUAUGUACGAUAAAAAGACUGCCAAUCCUUGGGAUCAAGAAUAUAAUUUGCCCCAAAUAACUUUUCUGUAAAAGUAGAAUUCUUAAUGGAAAAUAGAUUAAUACAUAUAAUUUCAAGAUCUAACCUUAAAAAUGGAAAUAAUGUGUCCAUUUUUAAAAAUAAAUCAUAUUUACAUACAAAAAAAAAAAAAAA